Panicum virgatum (switchgrass) is the source of this 1462-nucleotide long non-coding RNA. RefSeq lists it as uncharacterized. The record is from RefSeq and is a predicted model, not a curated record. The transcript is spliced from 2 exons. Lineage: Eukaryota; Viridiplantae; Streptophyta; Magnoliopsida; Poales; Poaceae.
CCCGCUCCUACGCACUCGCCCAUUCCGGCGGAACUGCUGCUGGAGUUUGACGCCCAACGACCACACUGUGAGACAUCCCCUGCGCGGCGCCUGCCCAUAAUCCCCGCUUCGCCGGCAGCAACUUCUCCCAUGCCCUACCCCUCAAAUGCCAUCCCUGGUUCUGGUCCUGCCCCCUCCGCCCCUUACCACCGUAAUCGAUGCCAGGUGAGGAUCUACGCCGGACCCCUACCCCUUCAUGCUGCUGCUCACGAAGGCUGCGAUUCCAGGUGAGUACAAUCGCUCACUUCCAGGUGAGAUCCAACUCGGCAUAAGGACGGCGGCGGCCUCUCUUCCAGCCACCGGUUGGAGUUCCUCUUCUCCCUCCUCCCUACCACACAAGCUUUCUUGUAGGAUCUAGAGUGCAGAAGCGAUGCAUUUUUAAGGCAGAAAAUAGACCCUUUUCCGUGGUGCAAGCCGUGGUCUAAUCCACACGAUUCUAGGCAAUGCUAGUUGUGUAUUGUCAAAGAAAUGAUUAUUUUUUGUCAUCCUCUCGUGAUACAAUGCAUAUAUGAGAUAAAAAUAUGGGUGUUAAGACAGUUUAACCUACAGGCAGAUACCAUUUAUUUUGGUGUUUUAUUUUACCCUGCUAUUUUGGCUCAGACUUGAUCAUAUCACCUAAUAGCUAGUUGACUAUAUAACUUACUCCCGACAUGAACGAAAAUUACCACAAAUUUUAGACUGCGCUGCACCUAUUAUUCGAGCAGACUGAAGAUCUGUCACAAGGAAUGUCGCUGUUCAUGAAGACUAUUAUACUGUCUUCUCACCAUUUUUGCAUUUGUAUAAGAUUAUUCUUUUGAAAUCCAAUAAUUAUCCCUUCUGUAAAUGGAUGUUUACUCUGUGACUCUGUUUGUAUAUAUGAACCCAAUUUUUGACAAAUUAUUCCAUGUUUUGUAUCAUUACUCCUUAGGACUUCAAUUAUUAUUCCUUUGGUCUCCACUGCUUAUUCCAUGUGUAUAUGGUCAAUUACUCCCUAACUGUGUUUAUAUGUUGGUAUCACAUAUAUGCAAUGAAAAAUAUUGUAUUUCAACAAUUUCUUUCAACAACAAUAUCCGCGUAUCUAUUUUUUUAUUUCUUUGACAAGAGUAUCUAGUAUUUCGAACCUGUUGCCGUUGAUGCAUAUAUUUACGGUUCAGAAAAUGAAGCAUGUCUCUUGCAAAUCCGGCCCGCCAUGGAAGAAAAGCAAGUGAGGAUGCACCACUGCUAGUUUGGUCAUGGUGGAGCACAGAACAGAAGCCAGCUAGAUGGGUGAUGGAUUCAUAGUGGAGCUCUCGUGCAAGAGAGCUUAUACGCCCUCCACUACCACUGUAUUAGUGGGGCAUCAUCUUUCUAGGAAAAAUUGGACAACUGCAUUAUGUUUGUGUGACUAGCUUGUACAACGCAUAAAUUUUAUUGAAUCAAAUUACGUGUGAUCACUGAGCAGCUA